UACGUAGGGUGCAAGCGUUGUCCGGAAUUAUUGGGCGUAAAGAGCUCGUAGGCGGUUUGUUGCGUCGGCUGUGAAAUCCCGAGGCUCAACCUGGGAACUGCAUUCGAGACUGCAUAGCUAGAGUAUGGGAGAGGGAAGUGGAAUUUCAGGUGUAGCGGUGAAAUGCGUAGAUAUCUGAAGGAACAUCAGUGGCGAAAGCGACUUCCUGGACCAAUACUGACGCUCAUGUGCGAAAGCGUGGGGAGCAAACAGG
Molecule: ribosomal RNA, 253 nt
Filed under: uncultured bacterium
Lineage: Bacteria
Description: partial 16S ribosomal RNA
Rfam family: Bacterial small subunit ribosomal RNA
Source: RNAcentral